RNAcentral lists this ribosomal RNA (1058 nucleotides) under Salmonella enterica. Its description in RNAcentral is "partial 23S ribosomal RNA". It matches the Rfam family "Bacterial large subunit ribosomal RNA", at positions 161 to 1259 of the family's 2925-position model. RNAcentral also lists the same sequence under 1 other name. Lineage: Bacteria; Pseudomonadati; Pseudomonadota; Gammaproteobacteria; Enterobacterales; Enterobacteriaceae. The record is from RNAcentral.
AAUCCAUAGGUUAAUGAGGCGAACCGGGGGAACUGAAACAUCUAAGUACCCCGAGGAAAAGAAAUCAACCGAGAUUCCCCCAGUAGCGGCGAGCGAACGGGGAGGAGCCCAGAGCCUGAAUCAGCAUGUGUGUUAGUGGAAGCGUCUGGAAAGGCGCGCGAUACAGGGUGACAGCCCCGUACACAAAAGCGCAUGUGCUGUGAGCUCGAUGAGUAGGGCGGGACACGUGGUAUCCUGUCUGAAUAUGGGGGGACCAUCCUCCAAGGCUAAAUACUCCUGACUGACCGAUAGUGAACCAGUACCGUGAGGGAAAGGCGAAAAGAACCCCGGCGAGGGGAGUGAAAAAGAACCUGAAACCGUGUACGUACAAGCAGUGGGAGCACCCUUUGGGUGUGACUGCGUACCUUUUGUAUAAUGGGUCAGCGACUUAUAUUCUGUAGCAAGGUUAACCGAAUAGGGGAGCCGGAGGGAAACCGAGUCUUAACCGGGCGUUAAGUUGCAGGGUAUAGACCCGAAACCCGGUGAUCUAGCCAUGGGCAGGUUGAAGGUUGGGUAACACUAACUGGAGGACCGAACCGACUAAUGUUGAAAAAUUAGCGGAUGACCUGUGGCUGGGGGUGAAAGGCCAAUCAAACCGGGAGAUAGCUGGUUCUCCCCGAAAGCUAUUUAGGUAGCGCCUCGUGAAUUCAUCUCCGGGGGUAGAGCACUGUUUCGGCUAGGGGGCCAUCCCGGCUUACCAACCCGAUGCAAACUGCGAAUACCGGAGAAUGUUAUCACGGGAGACACACGGCGGGUGCUAACGUCCGUCGUGAAGAGGGAAACAACCCAGACCGCCAGCUAAGGUCCCAAAGUCAUGGUUAAGUGGGAAACGAUGUGGGAAGGCCCAGACAGCCAGGAUGUUGGCUUAGAAGCAGCCAUCAUUUAAAGAAAGCGUAAUAGCUCACUGGUCGAGUCGGCCUGCGCGGAAGAUGUAACGGGGCUAAACCAUGCACCGAAGCUGCGGCAGCGACACUGUGUGUUGUUGGGUAGGGGAGCGUUCUGUAAGCCUGUGAAGGUGU